Molecule: transfer RNA, 80 nt
Filed under: Thermoflexibacter ruber
Lineage: Bacteria; Pseudomonadati; Bacteroidota; Cytophagia; Cytophagales; Thermoflexibacteraceae
Also listed under: 2 other names
Description: Flexibacter ruber tRNA
Rfam family: tRNA
About the family: Transfer RNA (tRNA) molecules are approximately 80 nucleotides in length. Their secondary structure includes four short double-helical elements and three loops (D, anti-codon, and T loops).
Source: Rfam by way of RNAcentral
GCGGGCGUGGCGAAAUUGGCAGACGCACUAGACUUAGGAUCUAGCGGGAAACCAUGGGGGUUCAAGUCCCUCCGCCCGUA